AUGACUGUGAUCUGCGUCCUCAUCUGGACUCUCCUCUGCUGCUGCUUCACAGAGUCCAGAGGACAGGUCACAGUGACUCAGCCUGGAGCAGUGAGCUCUGCUGUGGGGGGAUCUGUCUCCAUCUCAUGUAGAACCAGUCACAGGGUGGAUGAUGGUACUGACCUAUCCUGGUACCAACAGAAAGAUGGAGAAACUCCUAAACUACUAAUUUACUAUGCUAGCACUCGAGCAUCAGGAACUCCAAGUCGUUUUACAGGCAGUGGAUCAAACUCUGAUUUCACUCUGACCAUCAGUGGAAUUCAGGCUGAAGAUGCAGCAGUUUAUUACUGUUUGGGUGAAUUCUACAUCAACAGCAAAUACUCGUUCACACAGUGAAAAACAGUCGUACAAAAACCUCCUUCAGUCAGAGAGAACAGAAACCUAACUGACACAGUUCAAUGAAGACACAGAGAAGCACACACACACUUUUAAGAUAAUAUUGACAGUACGCGUGCUUUCAUUAAAUUCUACACCAUCUGAAAAUUUCAGAUCCUAAACUUACAAAGAAUCUUAGAAAUAAUUUUUAAACAACAGAAUCUUAA
This is a non-coding RNA of Oryzias latipes (Japanese medaka), 581 nucleotides long. NCBI's taxonomy places the organism in Eukaryota, Metazoa, Chordata, Actinopteri, Beloniformes, Adrianichthyidae. The record is from the annotation of a RefSeq genome assembly.